RNAcentral lists this long non-coding RNA (715 nucleotides) under Astyanax mexicanus (Mexican tetra). RNAcentral's name for it is "lncRNA (ENSAMXG00005006141.1)". Lineage: Eukaryota; Metazoa; Chordata; Actinopteri; Characiformes; Acestrorhamphidae. The record is from RNAcentral.
UCACAUACUUUUUUUUGCAACUGUAAAUACCUAUAAAUCUCAGUUCUGUUCUGUGUGCUGAAUAUAAGUUUCCUCCUGUUUCUGCUCAGUGGAGGAGCAGCUCUUCCGGUCGGUGGAGGGUCAGGCGGCGUCUGAUGAAGAGGAGGAGCGCUGGACGGGGGAGCAGCAGAGGCAGGUGGACGAGGUGAAGAAGAUACUGACCAGACUCUCCUGCUGUGGAGACAGGUGUGAUGAUAGAGCUCUGAAGAGGCUGCUGUGUUGUUGUUACCUGUGUUCAGGUGUGAUGAUAGAGCUCUGAAGAGGCUGCUGUCUCACUGUGGAGACUCGCGAGCGGAGGAGAGCUACACCGCAGUUCUGGAGCUUCUGGAUCGAGUGACCCGCCUCCACAAACAGCUGGAGCUCAGAGAGAACCAGGCCAUGAGGAACCGGCCCGACCCAGAGCAGAUAAAGGACUCCCUGCUGCAGGAGCUCCAGCAGAAGGCGGAGGAGACGGAGCUCCUCCACAGGGAGCUGCAGAUGUUGGAGACGGAGAGAGUUCGUCUCUCUUUAGUGGAGGAGAAACUCCUGGAUGUUCUGCAGCUCCUGCAGCAGCUCAGAGAACUGGUCAGUCCCAAACCUCAGUUUAUAAAAUUAUUCUAUUCAGAAGAAGAGAAAACACAGAGAGUGUGUACAUUAUUUAAUGAAAAGAUAAUCAAGCAUCAAAACAUAAAUAAAU